Molecule: ribosomal RNA, 449 nt
Filed under: uncultured bacterium
Lineage: Bacteria
Description: partial 16S ribosomal RNA
Rfam family: Bacterial small subunit ribosomal RNA
Source: RNAcentral
AACGAACGCCGGCGGCAUGCCUAACACAUGCAAGUCGAACGAAGCCUUCGGGCUUAGUGGCGCACGGGUGCGUAACGCGUGGGAAUCUGCCCUUUGGUUCGGAAUAACAGUUGGAAAAGACUGCUAAUACCGGAUGAUGACGAAAGUCCAAAGAUUUAUUGCCAGAGGAUGAGCCCGCGUAGGAUUAGCUAGUUGGUGUGGUAAAGGCGCACCAAGGCGACGAUCCUUAGCUGGUCUGAGAGGAUGAUCAGCCACACUGGGACUGAGACACGGCCCAGACUCCUACGGGAGGCAGCAGUGGGGAAUAUUGGACAAUGGGCGAAAGCCUGAUCCAGCAAUGCCGCGUGAGUGAUGAAGGCCCUAGGGUUGUAAAGCUCUUUUACCCGGGAUGAUAAUGACAGUACCGGGAGAAUAAGCCCCGGCUAACUCCGUGCCAGCCGCCGCCGUAA